AGUGAACGCUGGCGGCGUGCCUAAUACAUGCAAGUCGAACGGACAAGUAAGAGCUUGCUCUUAUGAGUUAGUGGCGCACGGGUGAGUAAUGUAUAGUUAAUCUGCCCUACACUGGAGGACAACAGUUAGAAAUGACUGCUAAUACUCCAUACUCCUUCUUAACAUAAGUUAAGUCGGGAAAGUUUUUCGGUGUAGGAUGAGACUAUAUUGUAUCAGCUAGUUGGUGAGGUAAUGGCUCACCAAGGCUUUGACGCAUAACUGGUCUGAGAGGAUGAUCAGUCACACUGGAACUGAGACACGGUCCAG
This 306-nucleotide ribosomal RNA is filed under the name uncultured bacterium. RNAcentral's name for it is "bacterial SSU rRNA". It matches the Rfam family "Bacterial small subunit ribosomal RNA", at positions 29 to 334 of the family's 1533-position model. The record is from RNAcentral.